RNAcentral lists this ribosomal RNA (436 nucleotides) under Campylobacter jejuni. RNAcentral describes it as "bacterial SSU rRNA". It matches the Rfam family "Bacterial small subunit ribosomal RNA", at positions 1 to 434 of the family's 1533-position model. The record is from RNAcentral. Lineage: Bacteria; Pseudomonadati; Campylobacterota; Epsilonproteobacteria; Campylobacterales; Campylobacteraceae.
UUUUAUGGAGAGUUUGAUCCUGGCUCAGAGUGAACGCUGGCGGCGUGCCUAAUACAUGCAAGUCGAACGAUGAAGCUUUUAGCUUGCUAGAAGUGGAUUAGUGGCGCACGGGUGAGUAAGGUAUAGUUAAUCUGCCCUACACAAGAGGACAACAGUUGGAAACGACUGCUAAUACUCUAUACUCCUGCUUAACACAAGUUGAGUAGGGAAAGUUUUUCGGUGUAGGAUGAGACUAUAUAGUAUCAGCUAGUUGGUAAGGUAAUGGCUUACCAAGGCUAUGACGCUUAACUGGUCUGAGAGGAUGAUCAGUCACACUGGAACUGAGACACGGUCCAGACUCCUACGGGAGGCAGCAGUAGGGAAUAUUGCGCAAUGGGGGAAACCCUGACGCAGCAACGCCGCGUGGAGGAUGACACUUUUCGGAGCGUAAACUCCU